GAUGAACGCUGGCGGCGUGCCUAAUACAUGCAAGUCGAGCGAACAGACGAGGCGCUUGCUCCUCUGACGUUAGCGGCGGACGGGUGAGUAACACGUGGAUAACCUACCUAUAAGACUGGGAUAACUUCGGGAAACCGGAGCUAAUACCGGAUAAUAUAUUGAACCGCAUGGUUCAAUAGUGAAAGACGGUUUUGCUGUCACUUAUAGAUGGAUCCGCGCCGCAUUAGCUAGUUGGUAAGGUAACGGCUUACCAAGGCAACGAUGCGUAGCCGACCUGAGAGGGUGAUCGGCCACACUGGAACUGAGACGCGGUCCAGACUCCUACGGGAGGCAGCAGUAGGGAAUCUUCCGCAAUGGGCGAAAGCUUGACGGAGCAACGCCGCGUGAGUGAUGAAGGUCUUCGGAUCGUAAAACUCUGUUACUAGGGAAGAACAAAUGUGUAAGUAACUAUGCACGUAUUGACGGUACCUAAUCAGAAAGCCACGGCUAACUACGUG
RNAcentral lists this ribosomal RNA (497 nucleotides) under uncultured bacterium. Its description in RNAcentral is "partial 16S ribosomal RNA". It matches the Rfam family "Bacterial small subunit ribosomal RNA", at positions 28 to 507 of the family's 1533-position model. The record is from RNAcentral.